ACUCCUACGGGAGGCAGCAGUGGGGAAUAUUGCACAAUGGGCGCAAGCCUGAUGCAGCGACGCCGCGUGAGGGAUGACGGCCUUCGGGUUGUAAACCUCUUUCAGUAGGGAACAAGGCCAGUGUUUAGCUGGUUGAGGGUAC
RNAcentral lists this ribosomal RNA (142 nucleotides) under uncultured bacterium. RNAcentral describes it as "partial 16S ribosomal RNA". It matches the Rfam family "Bacterial small subunit ribosomal RNA", at positions 335 to 478 of the family's 1533-position model. The record is from RNAcentral.